Molecule: ribosomal RNA, 462 nt
Filed under: uncultured bacterium
Lineage: Bacteria
Description: partial 16S ribosomal RNA
Rfam family: Bacterial small subunit ribosomal RNA
Source: RNAcentral
GAUGAACGCUGACAGAAUGCUUAACACAUGCAAGUCUUUGGCGAAGCUGUGCUUGCACAGCCUAGCCAAGGCGGACGGGUGAGUAACGCGUAAGGAACUUGCCCUGCAGUCAGGGAUAACAGACGGAAACGACUGAUAAGACCUGGUAAAGUCAGGCGGACUCAUGUCCAGCCUGAUGAAAAGAGAUGCUGCAGGAGAGCCUUGCGCCCUAUUAGCUUGUUGGUGGGGUAACGGCCCACCAAGGCGAUGAUAGGUAGCCGGCCUGGGAGGGUGGACGGCCACAGGGGGCCGGGAAACCGGCCCUUCCUCCGCGGGGGGGCAGCGGUGGGAAUUGUUGGACAUGGGGGCAACCCUGAUCCAGAAAUUCUGUGUGCACGAUGAAGGUUUUCGGAUUGUAAAGUGCUUUCAGCAGGGAAGAAAAAAAUGACGGUACCUGCAGAAGAAGCGACGGCUAAAUACGUG